Molecule: ribosomal RNA, 492 nt
Filed under: uncultured bacterium
Lineage: Bacteria
Description: partial 16S ribosomal RNA
Rfam family: Bacterial small subunit ribosomal RNA
Source: RNAcentral
AGUGAACGCUGGCGGUAGGCCUAACACAUGCAAGUCGAACGGCAGCACAGUAAGAGCUUGCUCUUACGGGUGGCGAGUGGCGGACGGGUGAGGAAUACAUCGGAAUCUACUUUUUCGUGGGGGAUAACGUAGGGAAACUUACGCUAAUACCGCAUACGACCUACGGGUGAAAGCAGGGGAUCUUCGGACCUUGCGCGAUUGAAUGAGCCGAUGUCGGAUUAGCUAGUUGGCGGGGUAAAGGCCCACCAAGGCGACGAUCCGUAGCUGGUCUGAGAGGAUGAUCAGCAACACUGGAACUGAGACACGGUCCAGACUCAUACGGGAGGCAGCAGUGGGGAAUAUUGGACAAUGGGCGCAAGCCUGAUCCAGCCAUACCGCGUGGGUGAAGAAGGCCUUCGGGUUGUAAAGCCCUUUUGUUGGGAAAGAAAAGCAGCAGGUUAAUACCCCGCUGUUCUGACGGUACCCAAAGAAUAAGCACCGGCUAACUUCGUG